CACUAGACUUGGAUGCAGGGAGAAUAGUUUUCCUCUCUUUAUAAGAAAGUAUAGAGGAGACACAAAUAUACACAGAUACAUAGAACAGACUCAUCAAAUUUGCAAUAAAGCAGAUUUCACACUAUUGAAGCAAUUGAAAUGCACUUACUGAAGCACUGAGUUACAGCAGUGCAAUUCACAGAAAUUAACUGCAUCUCAGAGAGGAGUCCCAUCACUACCAGAGAAAAUGCAUUCUGUCUUUACAGUGAUGUAGUCAGCUGCUCUGAAUGCCUACCAACUUCCCUGCAAAAGUCAUCUUUGACAUUGACCCAGUGAAAGCAAGAUGAAAAAACCGAGACCUAAAACAUGAUGGCUGAAUGACAGACACCUGUUCCUCACAGGCAUCCCACUCUAAUGUGCCAGAUUUGGUUCAGGACAAAUCUUCAUGGAAGCACAUAACACGAUGGCCCAUGGAGAUGAGGCAGUUCAUGUGUCUGUGUAGCAUCUAACAACACUGGUGACCCCAACUGCUGAUCUGGUGAGUAAGCAAAACUGCCGUAGUAAGAAUCGCUAUCUAACAUGGCAGUAAACCUCGAGCUAGGAAACCCCCUUAUUCCCUCCCUUAUGAUCCCCACGGAGUUUGAUAACUCUUGGACCCGCUGGAUUGCCAGUAAGGGGGGUCCAUAUGAAUUUAAAAAAGAGAGUGGGGAAACAUGGACUGGCUUAUGUAGAGCGAUGGUAGAAACCAAGGCUCUGAGAAACAGUAAUAAGAGUAAAAAAAGCAAGAAUUUUGCAACUCAUGUCUCUGGCAGUGAGAUGGCUCAGACAGCAUGCUGGAAUGCUGGCCAAACAAGUAACAGAAAAAACAAGAGAAGUAGAAGAGGUAACCCGGGCAGUCGAGCACUGGAAAGCCCAAGCUCUGUUAGCAGGGCAACAGGCGGUCCAAACUCAUGAUAUGCUCGAGCAAGUGAAGCAGGAAAAUAAAAAAUUGAAAACAGCUGUAGAAAACCUGCAGAAGCAAAAAGCACCGUCCCCUGGGGUUCAGUGUUCUUCAAGUGCUUUUACGGUGCCUGAGGAAUGGGGACAGAAAUGGAAACAGGUGGUCCUAGUAAAAUUAAAAGAUGAAACGGGGUCCACUGCAUUGCAACCACCACCUUAUGAUAAAUGCCAGGUUCCAGUUAAACUGAGACCUAGACUGGUGCCUGUCAGAACGGGACAAGUAAGUGCACAGAAAGAAAGAGUAGCACAUAAUACUUUCAAAGAAUUGGUAAAUCAGAUGAAGGAAAAUAUAGAACAGUUCACAGAGCACAUUAGGAGACAGGAGCUGCGACUUGAUUGCAGGGGAGUGAAUAAAAAAGCAUUUCAAAGUAAAAAACCAAAAUUAAGUGGGUUAACACCUAGAAUUGAUGCAUUAACAUAUGGAGUUGCCCAAAACCAGUUCACUGCAGCAAAAAAAAAAGGGCACUCCCGCCAUCCAUCUGGCAUGCACACAAAAGCAACAGACAUUGGAGGAACAAAUUCAGGUUUUACAAGAGCAGGUAACUACCCCCAUUCUCCACUCAAAGCCAGGAUAAAAAACAGGGGCGCGGUUCUUAACUGUGCAGGUUCCCAACUGCUUUGACCCACGGAACCACACUCCGUGCUCAUAUCUGAAAAUAGAACCUUCUUUCUCAAAUAUUUUUACAUACCGGUUAAGUUUUGUCCUUUAUAUGCUUUCUUAGUUUGCUAAAUUUGCUGCUGCUGCCUGUACCUUCAAAUAUCUUGAUAGAGUUAAUCUCUCUUGGCUCAGGUCUCGCUACCUUCCUAGGUUGCUGUUCACCCCCUCCUUUC
Chrysemys picta bellii (western painted turtle) is the source of this 1809-nucleotide non-coding RNA. NCBI's taxonomy places the organism in Eukaryota, Metazoa, Chordata, Testudines, Emydidae. The record is from RefSeq and is a predicted model, not a curated record.